Molecule: long non-coding RNA, 3714 nt
Filed under: Homo sapiens (human)
Lineage: Eukaryota; Metazoa; Chordata; Mammalia; Primates; Hominidae
Description: non-protein coding lnc-ARVCF-1:9
Source: RNAcentral
AAAUAAAUAAAUAAAAGGGUAUUAUGCAAUUUCUUACUUAUUAUGUGAGGGAGCCUCUUUUUUUUUUUUGAGACAGAGUCACGCUCUACCGCCCAGGCUGGAGUGCAGUGGCGCGAUCUCGGCUCACUGCAAGCUCCGCCUCCUGGGUUCACACCAUUCUCCUGCCUCAGCCUCCCAAGUAGCUGGAACUACAGGCGCUCACCGCCACACCCGGCUAAUUUUUUUUGUACUUUUAGUAGAGACGGGGUUUCACCAUGUUAGCCAGGAUGGUCUCGAUCUCCUGACCUCGUGAUCCGCCCGCCUUGGCCUCCCAAAGUGCUGAGAUUACAGGCGUGAGCCACCACGCCUGGCCAGGGAGCCUCUUUUUUAAUUUUAAUUUUUAAUUAUGGUAGAAUACACAUAACAAAAUUUACUAUCUUAACCAUUUUCAAGUGUACAAUUCAGUAGUGUUGUUUGUUCACAUUGCUGUGCAACCAAUUUCAGAACUUUUUUUUAUUCUUGCAAAAUAGAAACUCUGUACCCAUUAGAAAACUCCCCGUUUGCCCCUUUCUUGAAGUGCUUCUACUUUUCCUAUUGUUUGACUACUUUAGAUGCCUUACAUAAAUAGAAUCUCACAGUAUCUGUCUUUUUGUGACUGGCUUAUUUCACUUAGUAUCAUGAGAAUAUCAUAUGUCAGAAUUUGAUGCCUGAUAUUCCAUUGUAUAUCUAUACCACAUUUUGUUUAUCCAUUUUUCCACUGGUGGACACUUGGGUUGCUUCCCCUUUUUGGCUAUUGUGAAUAAUGCUGCUGUGAAUAUGAUUGUGCACAUAUCUCUUGGAGACUCUGCUUUCAAUUCUUUUUUUUUUUUUUUUUAGACGGAGUCUCGCUCUGCCGCCCAGGCUGGAGUGCAGUGGCACGAUCUUGGCUCACUGCAAGCUCCGCCUCCCAAGUUCACAAGUAGCUGGGACUACAGGCGCCUGUCACCACGCCCGGCUAAUUUUUUUGUGUUUUUAGUAGAGACGGGGUUUCACCGUGCUAGCCAGGAUGGUCUCGAUCUCCUGACCUUGUGAUCCACCCGCCUCGGCCUCCCAAAGUGUUGGGAUUACAGGCGUGAGCCACCACGCCUGGCCUCAAUUCUUUUAGAUACAUAAUGCAGAAUUUUCUGAUUGCUGGACCAUAUGGUAAUUCUAUUUUUAAUUUUUUGAGGAAUUGCCAUACUGAUCUUACAUUCCCACCAGCAGUGCACAAGGGUCUUAAUUUGUCUGUAUCUCUGCCAAAACUUUUUUUUUUUUUUUAGACUAGCCAUCCUAAUAGGUGUAAGGUGAUAUUUCAUUGCAGCCUUGAUUUGCUCUUCCCUAAUGAUAGAAAUGUUGAGCAAAUUUUUUAACGUGCUUGUUGGCCGUUUAUAUAUCUUCUUUGGAGAAAUGUCAGUUCAACUCCACUCAUUUUUAAAUUGGGUUAUUUGUGUUUUUUUGCUGUUGUUAAGUUUUGGGAGUUCUUUACAUAUUCUGGAUAUGAAUUCCUUUUCAGAUAUAUGAUUUACAAAUCUUUUCUCCCAUUCUGUUGGUUGCUUUUUCACUAUAUUGAUUGUGUCCUUUGAUGAACAUACAUUUUAAAUUUGGAUGUAGUACAAUUUAUUUUUCCUUCUGUUGCCUGUGUUUUUGGUAUCUUAUCUAAGAUAUCAUUGCCAAAUCCAGUGUCAUGAAGACUUUCCCCUAUAUUUUCUUCUAAGAGUUUUAUAGUUUGAGGUCUUAUGUUUAGAUCUUUCAUCUAUUUUGAGUUAAUUUUUGUGUAUGUAAUAAGGUAAGGGUGUGAGUUCAUUCAUUUACGUGUGUGUAUCCAGUUCCAUCAUUUGUUGAAAAUACCAUCAUUUCCCUAAUGAAUGGUCUUGGCACCUUUAUUGAAGGUCAUUUGACCGUAUUCAUGAGGGUUUGUUUCUGGGCUCUGUAUUCUAUUCCAUUGGUCUUUGUGUCUGUCCUUAUGCUAAUACCACACUGUUUUGAUUACUGUAGCUUUGUAGUAAGUUUUGAAAUCAGGAAGUGUGAGUCCUUAAAUGUUGUUCUUUUUCCAGAUUGUUUUGGCUCUUUGGGCUCCUUAAAGAUCGAUAUAAAUCUUAUGAUAGAUUUCUCUGUUUCUGCAAACAAUGUCAUUGGGAUUUUUUUUUUCUUUUCUUUUUUUUUUUUGACAGGUCUUGUUCUGUCAUCUAGGCUGGAAUGCAAUGGUGUGAUCCUAGCUUACUGCGGCCUUGAACCCCUGGGUUCAAGCAGUUCUUUAGCCUCAGCCUCUGACUAGCUAGGAUUACAGAUACAUGCUACUAUGCCUGGCUGUCAUUGGGAUUUUAAUGAAAAGCUUUCAGUCUUUCACCAUUGAGUAUGAUGUUAUGGGCUUUUCACAUAUAGCUUUCAUCAUGUUGAGAAAGUUUCCUUCUUUUCCUAGUUUGAGUGUUUUUAUCAUGACAGACUAUUGAAUUUUGUUAAAUGUUUUUCCUGCAUCAUUUGACAUGAUUGUGAUUUUUGUCCUUUAUUCUAUUACUGUGGCGUAUUACAUUGAUUGAUUUUUGUACAUGGAACCAUCCUUGCAUUCCAGGAGUAAAAUCCCACUUGGUUAGGUUUAUAAUUCUUGUAAAAUGCAGCUGAAUUUGGUUUGCUAGUGUUUUUUUGUUUGUUUGUUUGUUUUGAGAAUUUUUGUUUCAGUAUUCAUAAGGGUUAUUGGCCUGUGGUUUUCUUUUCUUGUAGUGUCUUUUCCUGGCUUUGGUAUUAGGGUAAGGCUGACCUCAUAAAAUGAAUUAGGAAGUGUUCCUUCCUCUUUAUUUUUGGGAAAAGUUUGAGGACGAUUGGUGUUAAAAUUACUUGAAUGUUUGGUAGAAUACACCAGUGAAACCAUCUUUGCUGGAGGUUUUUGAUUACUGAUUCAGUUUUGUUGCUAGUUGUAAAUCUAAUCAAUGUUUUCUAUUUCUUCAUGAUUCAGUCUUGGUAGGUUGUGUGUUUCUAGGAAAUUUUUCCAUUUCAUCUGGGUUAUCUAAUUUGUUGGUGUAUAAUUCUUUAUGGUAGUCUGUUACCAUCUUUUUAUUUUAAUGUUAUACAAAGAAAAGGAAAACAAAUUGAGGUUUUUUUUUGUUCUGUUUUAUUGUUUGAUUGUUGUUUGGCUUGGUUAGAUUUUGUUUUGUGGUUCUUGGAUUUGUACCUAAUCUGUUGGAGUCAUCAGUCCACAAACCCAUGAAUUUCCUGAGCCAGUAAAAAUGCUUCCAAUGGGCAGCUGACAGAGGACUGCUACAGACAACUGGAGCUGCCUUAAUGCAUUUGGUGACUGCUGCACCUGCCCGCUGAGGCCCCUCAGCCUGGUGGACAGCUGUCUCCUACAGUGCCUCAGUGGGGCCGUAGGGCAUGGUAGGGCAGGGCUCCCAGGCCCUGUGGCUGUCUGCCUCUGAUCCCAGCCUAGCUGUGAACCCUGUCAGUUCGCUCCUCAGGGAUGCUUUGGUCCCUGUGCCCACCCCAGAGUACAGAGGACGGGGCUCAGCUCCAUGUCUGGGCCUUUUACACCCCGCCUCCGCCUCCACUGCGCCUGCCCUCCCUAAGGCAGGGCAUGGGCCACACGGCACCUUGCGGGGUGGGUGCCCGUCCCGGUAAGCCGUGGAGGCAAUGGGCCAGCCACCGCCACCAAUGUCCGGCCCACUUAGUAGGGCACUACACCUCUCCACACUCCUACAAACUUCAUGCUCAUCAUUGGGGGCGGAG